UGAAGGAAAGUUAUACUGUUUUUUUUUUUUUUUUUCUUUUUAGGUUCUUAUACACAGUGACAGCUAGCAGAAUCUAAAGUGCUGACAUUAUGACUUAGAGAUGUGAUAAAGAGAAACAUCUAUUGCAUUUUCUACAACAGCAGCAAUUACAAAAGGAGACAAUAUCUAUUCAGCACCUACUGUGUUCCAGGCACACUAUAUGAAUUAUUUUGUUUAAUUUGCAAGCAAUUUUGUGAGGUAAGUACCACUAGUAUCCACAAUUUACAGAUGGAAAUGGGAUUAUAGUAGAGUAAAACAACUAAUGAUAUUGACAAAGUAAUGAAUCCUUAGCACAGGACUACAAGCUUAUCCCUCCUGGACACAAUGUAUACAUUAGAAUAGCAUGUGCUUGGAAACAAGAUGUCUUACCUCAAG
Molecule: long non-coding RNA, 414 nt
Filed under: Rhinopithecus bieti (black snub-nosed monkey)
Lineage: Eukaryota; Metazoa; Chordata; Mammalia; Primates; Cercopithecidae
Description: lncRNA (ENSRBIG00000046349.1)
Source: RNAcentral